Molecule: unclassified non-coding RNA, 270 nt
Filed under: Hevea brasiliensis (rubber tree)
Lineage: Eukaryota; Viridiplantae; Streptophyta; Magnoliopsida; Malpighiales; Euphorbiaceae
Source: RNAcentral
UUUUUUUUUUUUUUAAGUGUUGGCUUUCAGGGCACCUAAUGAAUAUAUAAUGUUUAAUUUUCUCAUCUUUUGCUGUCAAUUGUGAUGUCUGAUAUUUAUUUUUAACUGUUUAAUAUUAUGGGAAUUUGAAACAUUCCAUGGUCAUAACAAAAAAUGCAUUAGAAAUUCUCCUUGUUGGACUUUUAAGGGCUGUAUUGCGCAAUUUCCACAGAUAUAUCUAACUUCUGGAUUUGAUUGCUGCUUUCGUGCAGAUAACAACAGCUAGAAAGG